This 1539-nucleotide ribosomal RNA is filed under the name Triticum aestivum (bread wheat). RNAcentral's name for it is "partial small subunit ribosomal RNA". The record is from RNAcentral. Lineage: Eukaryota; Viridiplantae; Streptophyta; Magnoliopsida; Poales; Poaceae.
AUGGCGAUCUGCAAGGUCUGGAUCUCGCUGCUGCUCGCGCUCGCCGUCGUCCUGUCCGCCCCGGCGGCCAGGGCGGAGGAGGCUGCCGCCGCCGAGGAGGCCGCCGCGGCCCCCGAGGCCGUGCUCACCCUGCACGCCGACAACUUCGACGACGCCAUCGCCAAGCACCCCUUCAUCCUCGUCGAGUUCUACGCCCCAUGGUGUGGACACUGCAAGAGCUUGGCACCUGAGUAUGAGAAGGCGGCCCAACUGUUGAGCAAGCACGACCCAGCGAUUGUUCUCGCUAAAGUUGAUGCCAACGAUGAGAAGAACAAGCCGCUUGCGGGCAAGUACGAGGUCCAGGGCUUCCCUACCCUCAAGAUCUUCAGGAACGGAGGAAAGAACAUUCAGGAAUACAAGGGCCCCAGGGAGGCUGAGGGAAUUGUUGAGUACUUGAAGAAGCAGGUUGGCCCUGCUUCCAAGGAGAUCAAGGCACCUGAAGAUGCCACUUACCUCGAAGACGGCAAGAUCCACAUUGUUGGUGUCUUCACGGAAUUCAGCGGCACUGAGUUUACAAACUUCCUUGAGGUUGCUGAGAAGCUGAGGUCUGAUUAUGACUUUGGCCACACCGUGCAUGCCAACCAUCUCCCACGUGGUGAUGCCGCAGUGGAGAGGCCAUUGGUUAGGCUAUUCAAGCCAUUUGAUGAGCUCGUUGUUGACAGCAAGGAUUUUGAUGUUUCUGCUUUGGAGAAAUUCAUUGAGGCUAGCAGCACCCCGAAAGUUGUUACUUUUGACAAGAACCCUGACAACCAUCCUUACCUCUUGAAAUUCUUCCAGAGCAAUGCUCCCAAGGCCAUGCUCUUUUUGAACUUCUCCACUGGACCGUUUGAGUCCUUCAAGAAAGCCUACUAUGGUGCUGUAGAGGAGUUCAGCGGCAAGGAUGUCAAGUUCCUAAUUGGUGACAUUGAAGCGAGCCAAGGCGCUUUCCAGUACUUCGGGCUGAAAGAGGAUCAGGCACCACUUAUCCUCAUUCAAGACAGUGACUCGAAGAAGUUUUUGAAGGAACAGGUUGAGGCUGGCCAAAUUGUUGCUUGGUUGAAGGAUUACUUCGAUGGCAAAUUGACACCAUUCAGGAAGUCCGAGCCUAUUCCUGAGGCCAACAAUGAGCCUGUUAAGGUAGUUGUGGCUGACAACGUUCACGACGUGGUCUUCAAAUCUGGCAAAAAUGUUCUUAUUGAAUUCUAUGCGCCCUGGUGCGGACACUGCAAGAAGCUAGCACCCAUCCUCGACGAGGCAGCUGCCACCCUUCAAAGCGAAGAGGACGUUGUGAUCGCGAAGAUGGACGCGACCGCGAAUGACGUGCCCAGUGAGUUCGAUGUCCAGGGUUACCCCACCCUCUACUUCGUCACUCCCAGCGGAAAGAAGGUCUCCUACGAGGGCGGCAGGACGGCCGAUGAGAUUGUCGACUACAUCAAGAAGAACAAGGAGACUGCCGGGCAGGCGGCGACCGAGAAGGCGGCGGAACCGGCUGCCACGGAGCCUCUGAAGGACGAGCUCUGA